Long non-coding RNA from Oncorhynchus nerka (sockeye salmon), 625 nucleotides. RefSeq lists it as uncharacterized. The transcript has 2 exons. The record is from RefSeq and is a predicted model, not a curated record. Lineage: Eukaryota; Metazoa; Chordata; Actinopteri; Salmoniformes; Salmonidae.
AAGAUGACAUCAUCCUCUUGGAAGACUUCAUGCUGAAACUGGAGGAGAACGGUGUUCAGGAAGUUGACGUCUCGGUUCUGGAACAUGGCAGUCAGAUGGGAACUCCUCCAGCAUCGGGACAAAGUACUGGAUACAGCCGUUCCAGUGGCACAGCAGAAACAUCAUCAUAAACAAAGACAGUAUGCGGAAGAACAGCUGAACAUACUCCAAGUUGGCAUUUGAAACCUAUGGAGAAAGAAACAAAUGCACUCAAUUAAAAGAUGGAAAUAAAAAUGAACUAAUUGGACUGCAAAGAUAAUCUAGAAGUAAUGUGUACACCAAUCAAAAGUUAUUCUCCUGUCCUUCUUUGUAUUCAUUUUUAGCCAAAUGGAAUUUGUAGUACAAGUUUGACUUUGUGGUAUUUUCAGCAUUGGGAGAUGGUAGCAUACCAGAACUUACCUUUUCAACUUCAUUGAAGAAGCGGACAAGCCUGGAGACUCUGAGGAGCCUGACAAGGCUGAUGAUUCGGACAAACAUGAGGAUCCGCACCAUUCUACUGGCUUUGGAACCUGAGGUGGAAGUGUCACUGUGGGAUUGUAACUCCUGUCACAAUAAAAUACAGAAAUAAAAAAAUAUUUUAAAAAUG